This 70-nucleotide transfer RNA is filed under the name Marmota monax (woodchuck). RNAcentral's name for it is "tRNA.Ala". The record is from RNAcentral. Lineage: Eukaryota; Metazoa; Chordata; Mammalia; Rodentia; Sciuridae.
GGGUUUUGGCUCAUUAGUAGAGUGCUCACCUCGCACGUGCGAGAUCCUGGGUUCGAUUCUCAGCAGCACA